GACUAGGGAGCUUGCAAUAGCACUUGACUUUUAAUCAAGAGAUAAUAUUCGUAUUUCUAGUUA
This 63-nucleotide transfer RNA is filed under the name Amynthas yambaruensis. RNAcentral describes it as "tRNA-Lys". The record is from RNAcentral. Lineage: Eukaryota; Metazoa; Annelida; Clitellata; Crassiclitellata; Megascolecidae.